Megalobrama amblycephala (Wuchang bream) is the source of this 1445-nucleotide long non-coding RNA. RefSeq lists it as uncharacterized. NCBI's taxonomy places the organism in Eukaryota, Metazoa, Chordata, Actinopteri, Cypriniformes, Xenocyprididae. The transcript has 4 exons. The record is from RefSeq and is a predicted model, not a curated record.
GAACCUUGGAUAGUACAACAUAAAGAAAAUUUGGAACAAGUUUUUAAAUGUGCUAGAGCUCGCCUGCUAGCUGCUGCAGCCCAACGGGCUCGAUCUAACAAUGAAAAGGUGAAUUGUGACUCUCUGCAAGAGGGUCAGUUGGUGUAUCGAAGAUCUCAUAAGGUAAGAGGCAGAAAUAAAAUCCAGGAUGUUUGGGAUCCUACCCUUUACAGGAUUGUGCAAAGCCCAGAUGGUUUAGGUCCAGUGUAUUCUAUAUGUCCGGCGGAUGGGAGUGGGCAAGUUAAACGAAUACAUCGUUGUGAGUUGCGUCCAGUCUAUAAUGCUACAGAGGAUCCAGGGUUGUCCCCUCAUAUGAGGGAUGAAGAGCCCAAUCUAAAUGAAGAUCUCAUUUUAAUUGUAUCACAGCCAACGGAGGAGGUACAUUCACAGGAUGAAUGUACAGGUAAUGUUUUGUCUGGUCCAGGUAGGAGCCAAAGUAGUGCGUUACCAGUUUCACAGGGUGGUGGGGAACCAAGACGCACACAGAGAUUAACUGCAGGAUGUCAUCGGAACCCGUAUCAUCUCCCUCAAUCUGUGUGCAUUAAUGAUCAGAUAGCUCUCCCUGUGAUAAGGCCAUCCAAUAGUUCCCAAAGCUGUGUGUUUAGGCCAUGGGUGUGAAAAUAUAAUUUAUCGCCGGGACGUCGAUUUGAUUUUGGGGGGGAUGGGUGUAACCGGUUGACGUAUGGGUUGGGGACUACAACUCCCAAUAGUCUUUGGGACAAUUUUAAGAAUUGCGUCAUUACGUAGUUGGCACGCUAUAAACAGACGCACGGAAGUACUGCGCGUCCUCGUUUCAUUCAUUCAUUGAACUCGGAAAUAAGCGUGAGCUUGCAUCAGGUCACCUUUAUGUGAUUUUUGAACGUGGGGCAUAAGGCAGUCGUAUGUAUUUGUUUUAUCAAGAAGUCCUUGUGUGUUGAUGGUGAUUGGCCUGGUGAUGCAGCCUUCAGAGUGUUGAAUGAGUGAGAGCGAAUUAGGUUCCUUUUAAAGAAGAACCGUGUGGUUGAUGUAUUCCUUUUUUUUCUUUAAUCCAGUUCAUUUAAAGGUAUUUGAUUAGAUUAAAUAAUUUGAUUUAUGCAAAUGUGUGUUUCAGUUAUUAAUAAAAGGUUUUUAUGUUGCAGGACUAGCACGGCUAUUGUUACUAUUUGAUUUCUUUUAUUUUUGGUGAAUUACCCUCAUUUUUUCUUUGGAUGUUGUGUAUUUAUAUUAUUGUAUGCUUUCAAUUGAUACUGUUUUCUUUUUCUUUUUAGUUUUCCAUCUUACUUCCAUGGCAGCUGCAGGGUCUCCUCCAAGGGUGUGACUGGCACUGGUGAGGUGGUGGGCAUUCUUCUGUGGUUCCUGGUGAUGUAUUUAUCCUUUUGAGUGCCGUGGAUUUUUGUACUGUAUUUGGAGUGUGCAUUGCAAGUAGU